RNAcentral lists this non-coding RNA (183 nucleotides) under Lentibacillus lipolyticus. RNAcentral describes it as "Lentibacillus sp. SSKP1-9 6S RNA". It matches the Rfam family "6S / SsrS RNA". From Rfam's summary of the family: E. coli 6S RNA was the first non coding RNA to be sequenced, but its function was unknown until recently. The record is from RNAcentral. Lineage: Bacteria; Bacillati; Bacillota; Bacilli; Caryophanales; Bacillaceae.
UCAAUCCUGAUGUGUUCGUCUGAAGCAUUCGUUUUGACCGAACACUUUUAUAAAUGGGAGCCUGCAUAGGUUUUCAUGUUGCGUGCAUGCCUAUUCUAAGGAAGCACAAGAAACAUGGAACAGGGCACCCACCUGCCAUGAGCGGGAUCAAAACUGAGAGCGGACGGCACAAUUGGGAUUGCA